Molecule: non-coding RNA, 29 nt
Filed under: Rattus norvegicus (Norway rat)
Lineage: Eukaryota; Metazoa; Chordata; Mammalia; Rodentia; Muridae
Source: RNAcentral
UGGGAUGCCUUUUAUCUUUCACCUGGCUA